GACGAACGCUGGCGGCGUGCUUAACACAUGCAAGUCGAGCGGAAAGGCCCUUUCGGGGGUACUCGAGCGGCGAACGGGUGAGUAACACGUGAGUAAUCUGCCCUUGGCUUUGGGAUAACCACCGGAAACGGUGGCUAAUACCGGAUAUGACGCGCUCCGGCAUCGGGGUGUGUGGAAAGUUUUUUCGGCCAGGGAUGUGCUCGCGGCCUAUCAGCUUGUUGGUGGGGUAAUGGCCUACCAAGGCUUCGACGGGUAGCCGGCCUGAGAGUGUGACCGGCCACACUGGGACUGAGACACGGGCCAGACUCCUACGGGAGGCAGCAGUGGGGAAUAUUGGACAAUGGGCGGAAGCCUGAUCCAGCAACGCCGCGUGAGGGAUGACGGCCUUCGGGUUGUAAACCUCUUUCAGUACCGACGAAGCGCCGAUGAUGGUGGUGACGGUAGGUACAGAAGAAGCACCGGCCAACUACGUGCCAGCCGCCGCCGUAA
RNAcentral lists this ribosomal RNA (489 nucleotides) under uncultured bacterium. Its description in RNAcentral is "partial 16S ribosomal RNA". It matches the Rfam family "Bacterial small subunit ribosomal RNA", at positions 28 to 523 of the family's 1533-position model. The record is from RNAcentral.